AUCUAUGGCCAUGCCACCCUGAACACGCCCAAUCCCAUCUGAUCUUGGAAUCUAAGCAGGGUCGGGCCUGGUUAGUACUUGGAUGGGAGACCAUCUAGGAAGACUGGGUGCUGUAGAAU
This 119-nucleotide ribosomal RNA is filed under the name Pteropus alecto (black flying fox). The record is from RNAcentral. Lineage: Eukaryota; Metazoa; Chordata; Mammalia; Chiroptera; Pteropodidae.